AUGAACACUCUGUGCACUCUGAACAUUCUGAACAAUGAUACUAUGAUCUUGCUUUGUGCUCGUGCUUGCGAUAUGUCAUGUGCAUUGUCUGUGCCUAUUAUUUGCUCACAUGACAUGAUUGCCAUGAUUUCCUCUAGUGUGUUGCAUCUUCGCUCCACUAGUUUGUACAACUUGACUUCUAUGCUUGCUUAUGUUGCAUCACCCAUGAUUCAUAUUUUCCCAUUUCAUGCGGUUGAUGACAACCAUCUACAUGAUUUACACAUGAUUGUUAUUACUCCUUGUCAUAUCUCUCCAUGUGUUGCCUCCCUCAUGCUAGAUAAUUUGCCAUGUAUUGAGUGCAACUAUGCCUUUAGUCUUGAUAAUGAGUUUGCCCCCAUAGCAUUCUCACACAUAUUUGGAGAUUUUGACAUAUCCCUUGUGAAGCAUGCUUGUCUUACCUCUUUGCACCAUAUGUGUAGUGCCAUGAACAUACAGAUUGUUGCAUCAUAUUCUUCAUGCACUUUUGCUACUAAUGGUUAUGUGCAAGAGAAGAGAACCAUCAUGAUGGAUGAUGUGUUUAUCUACCAUGCGCAUACGUUAUUUGUUUUGUUGUGUGCAUGUGUAGGAUACUUGGACUUUGUGUUGACUUCCGCGUCACGUGAGUUGACAAUCCGAGCUCUUGAGAGCGAACCACCUUCUACCACGACGAUUCUACAUCGCACUUGCUUAUGCUUCGGCAUUGUGACAGACGCACAAGGACACGCUUUCAAGGUGAUAUCCUUCUCUUUUGAGAAACCCAAAACCAUGAGCAUGGAUAUUGUGAAUCAUAAUACUCAUGUUGCUUGCACCAUGACAGUUAUUGGCCAUCUUGGACUACUUGGUUGCGCACAUGUUAGAAAUCUUGCUCACAUUUCCAUGCCUCGUGACUUAUAUACCUUGUGUGUUGCAUCCAAUUCUUGGAUUACUUGCUCCUAUCACAUGUUUGGUUGCAACAAUGCCAUCUCUUCACAUAUACCAUGCCCCAUUGCUUGUCACAUGAUUGACUUCAUUGCCUCACACAUGAUGAACAAUUGCUCUUUCUAUUGUGUUGAGUGCCACUCUAUAUUCACUACGCCCCAUGCACGUUAUACUUGA
RNAcentral lists this ribosomal RNA (1113 nucleotides) under Triticum aestivum (bread wheat). Its description in RNAcentral is "partial small subunit ribosomal RNA". Lineage: Eukaryota; Viridiplantae; Streptophyta; Magnoliopsida; Poales; Poaceae. The record is from RNAcentral.